UAUGCAUUUAGGCUAAAGGAACCUGGAAAAACACAUGAAUCAAAAUAAAAGUUGAUUCACCUUUCCAGGGCAGAGUUACCAGCGUCAAAACUCUCAGGCGAGAUCUACCAGUGACGUUCUGACCGCAUGCCUCUCUGCAAGGAAAGUGGUAUGUGUUGUUUUUUCCAGCAGUGGAAAUACAAAUGAUUAACUCUGGAAACCAUGGCUGUUUCACUGAUAACUAAUUUGUUUGCUGAUAAAUGAUUACCCAGGAGCCAGAAUAGAGACCCAAAAGUCAAACUGCAAAAAUUAUUAAGUUCCCUCUGUAUGCAGAAUAUUGUGCAACAUGGUUAUGGGUACUACAGUGGAUGUGAGUGUGUAGACCUUGUACAAUAGAGCUUAUAGGCUAAUGAGAAGACAGGAAGAAACAACAGGAACACAUAUAGCUGGAAUGCAGAUGGGAUCUGUGCUACUUACGCUAGCCAUGGGAUGAUUAGAACAAGAUAAGAGACAUGAGGAAGACUUCUUCAAGGAGGUGCUCAAGCCAUGUUUUGGAAAAGAGAACUCAAGGUCUGGCAGGGAGAAAGGAGCAAGGUCCUCUUCUCCCUGAAGCCUGUCACAGUUCCUGUGCAGAGAGAGAGGGCACUGCAGCACCCAGGCGCUGACUGCCUUUUGUCAGUCUCAUUUGCAGGCCCCCAGCUGGAGAACCCAGGAGGAAGAGGAAAAAAGUUUUUUCCUCCUCUACACUCCCCAUGCAUGACUAAAGAGUAGGAGGAGUCAGCAAGGCAGACAUAUAUAGUACCCAGGAGGUGGACAAACAACUGCCUUGGUGGAAACUCUGUCCUUUCUGGACUUAUCCUGGUGCCACUGAGACUGUGCAGCAAACCAUGUAUCUGGCUCCCCUCCCACCUUCUCACCUUGGAACACCACCGGCUGUAGGCAUCUACAUGCAGCAGGAAGCAUCACUGAGUAAGUUCGACUACACAUCAAGGGUAGACACCGCACUGUCCAUCCAGCCUGCUCUGAACUGGCCCUGGGAAGGCGUGUCUGGAGAAGCUGUGUUGGAAGGAUUAGAAUAAUACACAUCUCCACACUUACCCACUCUGCAUGGGCUGCCUGAGAAAACUGUGUACCAGAAUGUGUUAAGAGUUGGAGAGGACAGAUGCAGGUUUUAAGAGCCUGUUUUUUGUGCCCUCUUCAGGAAGAUUAAGUGGAUCCUCCUAUAGAAAGGUGUAUUCAUGAAGGCUGCCUGCAGUGGACUGAGUGGUCAUUCCACUUGGGGUCAAGAUGGGGUUCAUGACAAAGCAUGUAACAGAGCACCAAGGAGGUGCCCUGGCCAUAUUGGAUGGAGUUCAGGACAGAAUCCAGUCCUGAACAAGGAGGAAUGGAGUACCUGGUCCCACACUUACGGGGAAAGCAUCACCCGAAAGUGAGAACGCCUAGAGGCAGGAAUCAUGGAGGUUUCCUUAACUGUCUGUCUGCAACAGCAGAGAUGGGGUCUUGCUAUGUUGCCCAGGCUGGUCUCAAACUUUGGCCUCUUGCCUUGGCCUCCUGAAGUGCUAGGAUUACAGGUGCUAGAGAUGACACUGCAGAGUAGAGAACAAAGGAAUCUUAGUAAUUGUUCAAUCCAAUCUCCACACUUUAAAGAUGAAGAAACUGGUAUUGAGAAAAAUACACAGCUUAUCCAAGGUUGCACUGCCGGUUGGUAGCUGAGAUGAAUUUAGAACCCACAUCUGAUGACUACACCAUAUUGCUCCCAGUUUCCCUGUCUGUUCCACAUGUAAAAGUCUGACUCUUCACUUCUCCUUUGAGUAUAUAGACUUUUAACAUUUUUGUAUGUCAAGAUGGACUUUUCCUCAUACCCAGCCCCUGCCUUUUCUCCUCCCUUCAUACCUUGCAGGAUCUUUAACAGAAUUUAAAAGGAGUUUUUUGUUUUGUUUUGAUGUAUCUAAUAAAAGUCAAGGGAGGGAGAGGGCCAGUAUAAGCAAGAGAACGGUUUACCUAUUUUGUAGAUGCUGUAGUCUGAGGAAUCAGAAACACACAAAGGUUUGAAGAACUGGUACAUGCUCCCAGAUGGGAAGCCAGGACUCUUGGUAGGAUCUUGAGGACAAGGCAAAGGACAAUAAGAGAGUGAGGGGAUCCUAGAGAUGGAAUCAAGGAAGAGAAACUAGAGAGAGAAAAAGGAACUGGCUAUCCAUCCAAGAUGGAUCCUGUGUGGACUGAUGGGUGCCUUGGCAUCAUCAUUUAGCAGACUUCAUGUGGUUGAAUAAUUGGCCAAUGGAAGGAAUUUCUUUUUUGGUAACAGACUGUGUGUGUACAGUUAUGGGUCUUAAUUUAUAAUAAAAGGUUACAUUGAAAAUUGA
This is a long non-coding RNA of Pan troglodytes (chimpanzee), 2342 nucleotides long. RefSeq lists it as uncharacterized. The transcript is spliced from 8 exons. Lineage: Eukaryota; Metazoa; Chordata; Mammalia; Primates; Hominidae. The record is from RefSeq and is a predicted model, not a curated record.